Molecule: ribosomal RNA, 404 nt
Filed under: uncultured bacterium
Lineage: Bacteria
Also listed under: 1 other name
Description: bacterial SSU rRNA
Rfam family: Bacterial small subunit ribosomal RNA
Source: RNAcentral
UGGGGAAUAUUGCACAAUGGGGGAAACCCUGAUGCAGCGACGCCGCGUGAGUGAAGAAGUAUCUCGGUAUGUAAAGCUCUAUCAGCAGGAAAGAUAAUGACGGUACCUGACUAAGAAGCCCCGGCUAACUACGUGCCAGCAGCCGCGGUAAUACGUAGGGGGCAAGCGUUAUCCGGAUUUACUGGGUGUAAAGGGAGCGUAGACGGCAGCGCAAGUCUGGAGUGAAAUGCCGGGGCCCAACCCCGGAACUGCUUUGGAAACUGUGCGGCUCGAGUGCGGGAGAGGUAGGCGGAAUUCCUAGUGUAGCGGUGAAAUGCGUAGAUAUUAGGAGGAACACCAGUGGCGAAGGCGGCUUACUGGACCGUAACUGACGUUGAGGCUCGAAAGCGUGGGGAGCAAACAGG